RNAcentral lists this ribosomal RNA (431 nucleotides) under uncultured bacterium. RNAcentral's name for it is "partial 16S ribosomal RNA". It matches the Rfam family "Bacterial small subunit ribosomal RNA", at positions 338 to 795 of the family's 1533-position model. The record is from RNAcentral.
CCUACGGGUGGCAGCAGUGGGGAAUCUUGCGCAAUGGGCGAAAGCCUGACGCAGCGACGCCGCGUGCGGGAAGAAGGCCUUCGGGUUGUAAACCGCUUUCAGGAGGGACGCGGUACCUCCAGAAGAAGCCCCGGCUAACUACGUGCCAGCAGCCGCGGUAAUACGUAGGGGGCAAGCGUUGUCCGGAUUUAUUGGGCGUAAAGAGCGUGUAGGCGGCCAGACAGGUCCGUUGUGAAAACUCGAGGCUCAACCUCGAGACGUCGACGGAAACCGUCUGGCUAGAGUCCGGAAGAGGAGUGUGGAAUUCCUGGUGUAGCGGUGAAAUGCGCAGAUAUCAGGAAGAACACCUAUGGCGAAGGCAGCACUCUGGGACGUCUGACGCUGAGACGCGAAAGCGUGGGGAGCGAACAGGAUUAGAUACCCUUGUAGUC